AGGUGAGCAACCCGGAGAACUGAAACAUCUAAGUACCCGGAGGAGAAGAAAACAAAAGUGAUUCCGCUAGUAGCGGCGAGCGAACGCGGAUUAGCCCAAACCACAGUUGUUACGGCAAUUGUGGGGUUGUAGGACCACGACAUUUGAUGCUAAACGAACUAGAAUCUACUGGAAAGUAGGACCAUAGAGGGUGAUAGUCCCGUAUAGGUAAGUUGAGUUAUUGAUAGUGGUAUCCUGAGUAGUGCGGGGCACGUGAAACCCUGCAUGAAUUUGCCGGGACCAUCCGGUAAGGCUAAAUACUCCUGAGAGACCGAUAGUGAACCAGUACCGUGAGGGAAAGGUGAAAAGAACCCUGAAUAAGGGAGUGAAAUAGAUCCUGAAACCAUACGCUUACAAGCGGUCGGAGCAGACUUGAUCUGUGACGGCGUGCCUUUUGCAUAAUGAGCCUACGAGUUACCGUUGCUAGCAAGGUUAAUCGAUUCAGUCGAGGAUCCGUAGCGAAAGCGAGUCUGAAUAGGGCGUAUAGUUAGUAGUGGUAGACGCGAAACCGUGUGAUCUACCCAUGAGCAGGUUGAAGCUUUGUUAACCCAAAGUGGAGGACCGAACCCGUUGACGUUGAAAAGUCUUGGGAUGACUUGUGGGUAGGGGUGAAAGGCCAAUCAAACUCGGAAAUAGCUCGUACUCCCCGAAAUGCAUUUAGGUGCAGCGUAUUAAUAGUUUUAUAGAGGUAGAGCUACUGAUUGGAUGCGGGGGCUUCACCGCCUACCAAUUCCUGACAAACUCCGAAUGCUAUAAAAUGUUUUAAUGCAGUGAGGGCAUGGGUGCUAAG
Molecule: ribosomal RNA, 829 nt
Filed under: uncultured bacterium
Lineage: Bacteria
Description: bacterial LSU rRNA
Rfam family: Bacterial large subunit ribosomal RNA
Source: RNAcentral